RNAcentral lists this long non-coding RNA (461 nucleotides) under Homo sapiens (human). RNAcentral's name for it is "non-protein coding lnc-SORCS3-16:1". The record is from RNAcentral. Lineage: Eukaryota; Metazoa; Chordata; Mammalia; Primates; Hominidae.
AAGGCAAAGAAGGAAGCUCCUGCCCCUCCUAAAGCCAAAGCCAAAGUGAAGGCUUUGAAGGCCAAGAAGGCAGUGCUAAAAGAUGUCCACAGCCACAAGAAAAAAAAAGAUCUGCAAGUCACCCACCUUCCGGCGGCCCAAGACACUAUGACUCCCGAAGCCCCCCAAGUGUCUUCAAAAGACUGCCCCCAGGAAAAACAAGCUUGACCACUGUGCUAUCACCAAGUUUCCACUGACCACUAAGUCUACCACGAAGAAGAUAGAAGACAACAACACACUUGUGUUCAUUGUGGAUGUUAAAGCCAACAAGCACCAGUUCAAACAGGCUGUGAAGAAGCUCUAUGACACUGAUGUGGCCAAGGUCAACACCCUGAUUAGGCCUGAUGAAGAGAAGGCAUAUAUGUUCAACUGGCUCCUGAUUACAAUGCUUUGGAUGUUGUCACCAAAUUGGAGUCAUCUAA